CCUCACGGGUGGGAGAGCGGCCUGGGCUGAGGCGAGUGUGUGUUGUGUUGUGGUGUCGCGUGGAAGGUGUGUGCGGGCCCAGUGAGUGAAUGGACGCUCGAGUGUGUGCGCGAGGAGAGUGCAAGGCGAGUGCGUGUGCCUCCCCUGCGCCCCUCCCCCCGUCUACACCUUGAUCUUAUUUGAUCGGGUCGUGACCCCAGCCCCGCCGGGCCGCCCGAAAUGAAAAGCUCUCCUCCUGCGAAGCCCCCUCUCCCGGGCCCUGUGCAGCGAGGCCCCUUGGGCGGCGGCAGCGCCGCGGUCCCCGAGGUCCCGAAGCCGGUCCUACGGGCCCGGCGCUCAGAAGUGAUGAAUUGAUCAGAUAGACGAGGCCGGGCCUGUCCCGGCCAAUGAUUAUCGAGGCGAUUCUGAUCUGA
Molecule: small nucleolar RNA, 413 nt
Filed under: Sciurus vulgaris (Eurasian red squirrel)
Lineage: Eukaryota; Metazoa; Chordata; Mammalia; Rodentia; Sciuridae
Description: Small Cajal body-specific RNA 2 (ENSSVLG00005011027.1)
Rfam family: Small Cajal body-specific RNA 2
Source: Rfam by way of RNAcentral